This 498-nucleotide ribosomal RNA is filed under the name uncultured bacterium. RNAcentral describes it as "SSU rRNA". It matches the Rfam family "Bacterial small subunit ribosomal RNA", at positions 26 to 521 of the family's 1533-position model. The record is from RNAcentral.
AGAUUGAACGCUGGCGGCGUGCUUAACACAUGCAAGUCGAGCGGUAACGCGGGAGCAAUCCUGGCGACGAGCGGCGAACGGGUGAGUAAUGCUUGGGAAUCUGCCCAUUAGUGGGGAACAACCAGCCGAAAGGUUGGCUAAUACCGCAUACGCCCUACGGGGGAAAGCGGGGGAUCGAAAGACCUCGCGCUAAUGGAUGAGCCCAAGUCGGAUUAGCUUGUUGGUAGGGUAACGGCCUACCAAGGCGACAAUCCGUAGCUGGUCUGAGAGGACGACCAGCCACACUGGGACUGAGACACGGCCCAGACUCCUACGGGAGGCAGCAGUGGGGAAUAUUGGACAAUGGGGGCAACCCUGAUCCAGCGACGCCGCGUGUGUGAAGAAGGCCUGCGGGUUGUAAAGCACUUUUAGUGGGGAUGAAAAGCUCAGGGUUAACACCUCUGGGUCUUGACCUAACCACAGAAAAGCACCGGCUAACUCUGCGCCAGCAGCCGCGGU